GACGAACGCUGGCGGCGUGCCUAAUACAUGCAAGUAGAACGCUGAAGGAGGAGCUUGCUUCUCUGGAUGAGUUGCGAACGGGUGAGUAACGCGUAGGUAACCUGCCUGGUAGCGGGGGAUAACUAUUGGAAACGAUAGCUAAUACCGCAUAAGAGUAGAUGUUGCAUGACAUUUGCUUAAAAGGUGCAAUUGCAUCACUACCAGACGGACCUGCGUUGUAUUAGCUAGUUGGUGAGGUAACGGCUCACCAAGGCGACGAUACAUAGCCGACCUGAGAGGGUGAUCGGCCACACUGGGACUGAGACACGGCCCAGACUCCUACGGGAGGCAGCAGUAGGGAAUCUUCGGCAAUGGACGGAAGUCUGACCGAGCAACGCCGCGUGAGUGAAGAAGGUUUUCGGAUCGUAAAGCUCUGUUGUAAGAGAAGAACGAGUGUGAGAGUGGAAAGUUCACACUGUGACGGUAUCUUACCAGAAAGGGACGGCUAACUACGUGCCAGCAGCCGCGGUAAUACGUAGGUCCCGAGCGUUGUCCGGAUUUAUUGGGCGUAAAGCGAGCGCAGGCGGUUAGAUAAGUCUGAAGUUAAAGGCUGUGGCUUAACCAUAGUACGCUUUGGAAACUGCUUAACUUGAGUGCAAGAGGGGAGAGUGGAAUUCCAUGUGUAGCGGUGAAAUGCGUAGAUAUAUGGAGGAACACCGGUGGCGAAAGCGGCUCUCUGGCUUGUAACUGACGCUGAGGCUCGAAAGCGUGGGAGCAACAGG
RNAcentral lists this ribosomal RNA (761 nucleotides) under uncultured Streptococcus sp. RNAcentral's name for it is "bacterial SSU rRNA". It matches the Rfam family "Bacterial small subunit ribosomal RNA", at positions 28 to 776 of the family's 1533-position model. The record is from RNAcentral. Lineage: Bacteria; Bacillati; Bacillota; Bacilli; Lactobacillales; Streptococcaceae.